This 303-nucleotide long non-coding RNA is filed under the name Gossypium barbadense (sea-island cotton). Its description in RNAcentral is "long non-coding RNA (GBAR_LNC020002)". Lineage: Eukaryota; Viridiplantae; Streptophyta; Magnoliopsida; Malvales; Malvaceae. The record is from RNAcentral.
GCAGAGAAUGAUACAACGAAAGGGUGAUAUUCGACUAGGAGGUAAAAAGAGAAAUAGCCUGGCAAAGGUAAACCGAUUGAAAGAAAAAGAUGAUAUUCGGCCAAGAGAGCACAAAUUGAGGAAGAGAAUAAGAAAGAAAAAGGAAUGGAGAAUCAAAAGCCGACAAAUGAAAGAAAGAAAGGAGAAUUCGGCAGAGGAGGGAACCAAAAUACUAUUUGGCCAAAACCAAAAGAAUAAAAGGGAAGGGCAAAAAAGUAAUCGAACAAACCCAAGAUAUACACAAAAACUUAGCGAAAAUUCGGC